GCGCGAAAACUUUACAAUGCUGGCAACAGCGAUAAGGGAACCUCGAGUGCCAGGUUACAAAUCUGGCUGUCGAGAUGCCUAAAAAGCAUUUCAUAGCAAGGGCCGGGCAAGACCGGUGCCAGCCGCCGCGGUAACACCGGCGGCUCGAGUGGUAGCCGUUAUUAUUGGGUCUAAAGGGUCUGUAGCCGGCCGGAUAAGUCUCUUGGGAAAUCUGGCAGCUCAACUGUCAGGCUAUCAGGGGAUACUGUCUGGCUCGAGGCCGGGAGAGGUGAGAGGUACUUCAGGGGUAGGGGUGAAAUAUUGUAAUCCUUGAAGGACAACCAGUGGCGAAGGCGUCUCACCAGAACGGACCUGACGGCAAGGGACGAAAGCUAGGGGCACGAACCG
This 387-nucleotide ribosomal RNA is filed under the name uncultured bacterium. RNAcentral's name for it is "bacterial SSU rRNA". It matches the Rfam family "Archaeal small subunit ribosomal RNA", at positions 339 to 726 of the family's 1478-position model. The record is from RNAcentral.